RNAcentral lists this long non-coding RNA (2511 nucleotides) under Equus caballus (horse). RNAcentral describes it as "lncRNA (ENSECAG00000034148.2)". Lineage: Eukaryota; Metazoa; Chordata; Mammalia; Perissodactyla; Equidae. The record is from RNAcentral.
AUUGAGGAUGAUAGAUUCUAUGUGUUUAGAGAGCCUUCAUAUAAAAUAAUUUUUAUUGUUGAAAAAUCAUUCGUUAUGUUUAAAUAUUGUACGUUGGUAAUUAUUGCCCUAUUGUGGAUAGUUAGGUAAUGUUAAAUGUUUCAAUAUUGGUUAUAAUUCUGAAUAAACUUCUUCAUGCACAUAACAGUGUUGUUUCUGCUGAAUUAGUUCCUUAAAAUGAGCCCUUAGGAUUAUUUUAGUCAAUGUUCAUUGAGUCAAUGUUCUUCAAUAUCUUUAUGUUUUUUGCUGCCAAGUGACAUUCUGACUGCCUAAGGAUUGUGCCACUCAACACAAGCUAUAUAUUGUUAGUUAUUUGUCAUAGAUCGGGAAAGAGAAGCUCAGAUAGAUUAUGUGAAUGAACUAAUGCAGGUAGAAAAAUACAACAGAGUUUUGAACCAGUGUCCUUGAUCUUUGCUUAGUCUAGGAGUUCUUUUUGAUUCACACUUGCGCUCACUCAGAUCGUUAUCUGGAGAACCCCUACUCUGUGCUGUAGACUGCUAUUACCAGGGAUACAACGAGGAAAAUGCAUACUUCCUAUUUCCAGAGAGCUAAUGGUCUACUGCCCUUCCCAGAAUCCCUCCUCUUUAUCUCCCUGGCAUGGAUAAAAAUCUCAGGUGAACAGACUGAACAACAAAAGAAGGAGAGAAAAAGUGUUAAAGUCAUUUACUCGGUCGUAGCUUGGAUACUAAUUUUUGACCCAGCUUCCAGGACUGUGCUGUGAGAUGUGAGGGAAGUGCAUCCUGUGUUGUACAGGAUAUGGCUGGGUCAACCACGUGGGUGGAGGCCUGGGAUUAAGAAACCCAUCUCAGUGGGGAGUGACUACAGAGAUUCAGUGUGAGUUUAAGAAGGAGAGAGUACACCGAGGUGCUCAGUGGGGAGAAUGACAGCUUGGAGUAAUAACUGAGGGAGUUUGAUGGAAGCAUUCUGAAUUGAGUUCAUUUUAUUGUGAACGACUCACACUUCUUGAGUUCUUUCUGUGUGGUUGGCAUUGUUCUAGGUGCUGGAAGAAAGUAGAAGAAAAAAGCUUUGGGGGCUGGAGAUCAAGACGUUCCAGGAAACGUCUGGCACAUAUCAAUGCACGUGAGGUAGGAGGCAGAGUGUGGAGGUGGUGGCGUUUCAGUUUAGUGUGCUCCAGCUCUCUCCCUCCUUCUUUCCCUCUGGAUGCCCUUUUCUCUACCCUCUCCCCCACUGCCCCCUCCUGGACCUCCAGGUGCCAAGUUAGCACCGUCGUGUUAGCCCAGCCCCUAGAGGAGGCACCUUGCCCAGGCCUGCACACCUACUUCGGGAUCGCAACCACAAAUGCCUGCAGGUGCCAGCCAGGUCAGCCACAAGAAUGAGUUGCCCAGUGAUGGCUUUAUGCUACCAUCAGUUGAAGAUCCAAGAUGGAAACCUAAAGUCCACAUUUUUCCUGCUAUGCCAAGCUACCCUUAAACAGUAAAAUAUGAACCCACAGAUGAGGAAGAGCUCGAGAAAAAUAAAUGAAAUGCUGAGGAAUUGGCAUACCCCUCCCGAAGAAGGAAGCAAAAUUUAUGAACUUCAGAAUUAAAUUCAAAGGAUAUAGUACUUGGUGAAUUGCACAAAGGAUCACUCAAUCCUUCCAACCGAGGAGAGAAACUGUGAUUGGAAAGCUCCCUUCCCAAAGGUGUGCCCCCUGAAUUCUGGGAUUGCAUAAUGUGAGUGCAAAUGAAAGUCAAGUCAAUGAAAGCAGUCAAGGAGGGACAAGAGAGGAGGGAGGGUAUUUCCAGAGGAGAUUUGAAAUGAGAUCCCGGGUUGAUGAGGCAAAGACAUACAGGAUGGUUGUUCAAAUGACAGGAGCUACAGAAGAUGUGCCUCUGUGUUUGUCUUUAUGAAGAGAGAAAAGCUUAAACGGACAGGAACACCAAAUAUUAAAAGUACUAUAUACAGCACAAAACAUUGUUUUAAAAUCUGAAAAUGCUACAAGAACACAGAUUUCACUUUAAAUAAUUUUGCUGAACAUGAUUUUCAAAAGUGAAUGAGUAAUUUUACAUGGUAUGGUGGUAUAGUGGUUGAAUUGUGGCCCCCAAAAAGAGUCUCCACGUUCUAACCCCCAGGACCUGUGAAUGUGACCUUUUUGGGAAAAAGCAUAUUUACUAGUGUAAUUAAGUUAAAGAUAUUUAGAUGAGAUCAUCUUAGAUUACCUGGGUGGGCCCUAAAUCCAUUGACAACUGUCCUUAUAAGAGAUAAAAGAGAAGACAGACACACAGAGCGAGAAGGUGUUGUGAAGAACGGGGCAGAGAUUGGAGCGAUGCAGCCACAGGGCAAGGAAUGCCUGAAGCCACCAGCAGCUGGAAGAAGGAUUCUCUCCUAGAGAUUUCAGAGGGAGCAUGCUCUGCAAACACUUUGAUUUUGGACUUCUGGCCUCCAGAACUCAUCACCCCAGCAGUGACCUCUCACCCUGGAAGCAGUAUUAGUUCCAGUUGGUAGCAGUUUCCAGCCUCUUUCAAUACUCCC